AGGAUAAUAGUUAAUCAUAACAUUUAAUUUGCAUUUAAAAAUUACUAAACUCUAGUUUAUCUUU
This 64-nucleotide transfer RNA is filed under the name Cobelura sp. KM-2017. RNAcentral describes it as "tRNA-Ala". Lineage: Eukaryota; Metazoa; Arthropoda; Insecta; Coleoptera; Cerambycidae. The record is from RNAcentral.